RNAcentral lists this non-coding RNA (30 nucleotides) under Mus musculus (house mouse). The record is from RNAcentral. Lineage: Eukaryota; Metazoa; Chordata; Mammalia; Rodentia; Muridae.
UGGGAGAGAUGUUUCUAGUUGAUAAAGCUA